This 253-nucleotide ribosomal RNA is filed under the name uncultured bacterium. Its description in RNAcentral is "partial 16S ribosomal RNA". It matches the Rfam family "Bacterial small subunit ribosomal RNA", at positions 524 to 776 of the family's 1533-position model. The record is from RNAcentral.
UACAGAGGUCUCAAGCGUUGUUCGGAAUCACUGGGCGUAAAGGGUGUGUAGGUGGCGUGGUAAGUCAGAUGUGAAAGCCCGGGGCUCAACCUCGGAAUUGCAUCCGAUACUGCCAUGCUAGAGUGCUGAAGGGGAGUCUAGAAUUCACGGCGUAGCAGUGAAAUGCGUAGAUAUCGUGAGGAAUACCGAAGGCGAAGGCAGGACUCUGGGCAGUAACUGACAUUGAGACACGAAGGCUAGGGGAGCAAACGGG